GGGCUCCACUCCUGUUCCUGCUGAACUGAGCCAGUGUGUGAAACGAGAACUGAUAUCAGCUCAGUAGGCACCGGAGGGCGGGUCC
This is a microRNA precursor of Nannospalax galili (Upper Galilee mountains blind mole rat), 85 nucleotides long. The record is from Ensembl. Lineage: Eukaryota; Metazoa; Chordata; Mammalia; Rodentia; Spalacidae.